RNAcentral lists this ribosomal RNA (1101 nucleotides) under Triticum aestivum (bread wheat). RNAcentral describes it as "partial small subunit ribosomal RNA". The record is from RNAcentral. Lineage: Eukaryota; Viridiplantae; Streptophyta; Magnoliopsida; Poales; Poaceae.
AUGCCGCCUAAGAAGUACGUGAUGCCACGCGCCGCGAUGGAUCCCACCGCCGCCGCCGCCCAGCCGAAGCAAAGGAAGCCGAGGGUUCCACUCUCCAAGCCCCCCGGCAUGACCAAUGCCGAGUGGAAGGCGGAUGUGGAGCGCCAGGAGGCCUUCACCGCCGAUAGGCGCAACAGGGCCAAGAAGGCGAGGGAAAAAGCGGCGUACGUUGCAGCGGCGGUGGCGGCGGAGCGUGUCGCCGAACAGGCGGAGGUGGCGCGCGCGGCGAUGGCAAAUCCACCCGAUGGGCACCCGUACGUGGCCUGGAGCCAGCAGAGCGUCGACUCUCCGGCCGGGUUCUCGUCGUCGCCGCACCCAUGGAGCACGCUGUUGCCAGGCUAUGCUGAUGGGGAUGCUCACGGUGGUUUCAACCCCAACAUCACGUUCCCCCACGGGCGUCGUUCCCAGCGCACGCCCUCGCCCGCGUUCGCCGGCCUGCAGUACCCGCCUUACACGUACUCGCCGCCGGACUACGCAGCCUCACCGACGCCCCCUCUUCGCCGCGGCCUGUACUCGCAAGCCUCGUCCAUGUCGCAUCUCAGCGACGCCGGCACGACGGAGGCCGACAUGGACGACAUCAUCGCAACCGGCUUGGCUGCCGCCGCCGCUUCCCCCGGAUUCACUACGCAGGACGGCUCAAUUGACCUCGCUGACAUGGACGGCGAGGAAGAGCCGGAGGAGGAGGAAGAAGAGGUGGAGGAGCCGGCGCCGACGAAGAAAGGCAAGAAGAAGAAGAAGAAGAAGAAGAUGGCGGCCAAGUCCGGCGAGCCGCGCAUCAAAUGGGCGUCCAAGGAAGAGGAGUGCCUCGCCGAAGCGUGGAAGGUCGUCUACCUCGACCCAGUCACUAGCACGAAUCAGAGCAUCGAGACGUACUGGGACCGCAUCAAGGCCGAGUUUGACGAGCGGAAGCUUGUCGACCCCUACUUCAAAGACAUGCUUGAUAUGAAGCAGGGGUCGAAGGGGAUGGCGAACCAUUGGUCACUCUUCCAAACGGCGUGCAACAAAUGGCAUGUGAUCGUCGAGGAGGUCGCGGCUCGCCCGAAGAGCGGCACCAGCGUCUAG